UAUAAAAGUUACAAGUCCUUUAUUGCAAACAUAUAUUUAGUAAAAAGUUAGUACAUACACAUGAAUAACCAUCUUAUACAUGUAAUAGGUGUUAAACAUGCUGCCAUUAGACAUUGAAGAUUAUUAAUAUAAUAGAUAAUUCAUUGUUUAAACACUUUUAUGAUCUCUACGAAAUAUAUAAGUGCCUGCAAGACAAUGUCUUGCAACUUCUAUGUAUUAGUUUCAGAUUUGUUUGAAAUGUAUCGGUAUAAUCAUAAUAGUCGCGUUUCAUCACUUUCAUCAAUUUCAGAAUCGUUUCGCAUAACAAAAGAAGGUUUCUAUAAAUAUUCAAAUACUUUCGUAAGCAACUGUAUACUCCAGGUUUUUUAGAACUUCCUUGUUAAUUGAUAAAGUUCAGAGCCUAACCUAACCUAUGACUAGUGGAAGCUUCAUUGCAAUUUAAAUCACACUUGGUGUGUCAUCUACUAAGCAAUCAUGUUUGUUGAUGCUUAUCACGUUGAUUCAUUGAUGUCGUUUAUGUUUGUUCGUAUCUGUUCAUCAAGUAUAAACUCGGCUUAAUAGGUUGUAUGUAUGUGUACAUUGCGCAGUGGAAUCGGCCUCAAUGCACGACGAGAGAAACUUUUGCUUUAAUCCAACUAUACCGCAGGGUCAGACUUUUCAUCCAAUGUGUUUCGCUCGGGGAAGAAAAUAGAAUUGGAGAAAUGUCGUACACGUAUAUUUUCUAAUCGAUCUCUUCAGCCGGCCAAUGAUUUCCACUUUUCUCCGGACCUCUUUCUCUCGUUCGUUUCGUUACAAAUUGUGACAACGUUUUAUCUCCUUGACGUUCAUAGGUUCGACGAACUAGGUGAGAUUUCGUUAGGAAAUAAUAUAUAUUUGAUUAGAAACAUUUACCGAAGAAUUUCUGUGAACCUAAAAUAUUUCGUAUUAUUUACUUCAACUUUUUAAUGCUGUUUGGUUUGGAAUGAUUAAGAGUUAGGAAAGAUUUAACUAGAAUUAGAUUUUUCACCGUUUGUAGUUUCACGAGCUUUUCUUAAAAAACUGUUGGCCUUUUUAACAAUGAAUUCUUUUAAAUAGCUUCUAUAGGCUCUCAUAGAGUAUUUCAUCUCUGGCUUAUGUAUUUGGAAUAAGUUUUGUAAAGAUUAUGAUAAAUACAUAAUAAUGGGACUAUGUUAUACUUGGUGAAUGAGACAGAUAGAGGUAUGUAUAUAUCUUGGUAUGUAUAUAUGAGAUUUAAUAUUAUUUUACUGAAAAAAUGAACCUGUUUUAUUAAUGAAUUUUUUUACGUUUCCCCUUAAUUUUCUUUAGUAUCCAACUAACAGCAAUAAUAUUAUUUGCUAGGAAUUUAUAAUAAAAACGAAACGAACCUUUCGGAAGAAGCCAAUACAUACAUAUUUAGAAUAUCUUUCAGAUGAAACGAUUAAGUGUCCAAGGUUAUUUCCUUAAGAAUAUAUUCUUUUCUACGUUUCUGAAGGUGAUUUUAUGGUUAAAUGGAAAUCUUGCGAGUUCAAUACCAACCAAUUACCACAAUAGUAAGCAAUUUUACGAGUUUACGAGAGCAAUGAGGAAUUAGGACGUAUUAAGAUUGGCGUGAAUUUAAUGGCGGCGAAACCAAAAGUGGCUGUAUGUGAUUUUUUCCUAGCAACUGUACAACAUUUUACUCUAUUAGAAAGUGGUAAUAAGGAAAGUAUUUCUAUAUAUAAAGAUUAAGUCUACAUUCGUAAAUACAUAAAACUUAUUAUAUUAUUUUUUUUUCCAAAAAAAAGAAAGCGAAUGAAUGAAGAUUGAAAACAUUUAUGGAAAAGUUAAAAAAAAUGUUUAUUGCUACUACUUCAUCGACGUGUAUCUGCAAACAUUGCUCAUAAAACAUACGUGUCCAAGCGCACGACGUCGACUUAUGUUUGUUUUAAAAUACAUACUCAAACACGU
Molecule: long non-coding RNA, 1926 nt
Organism: Bombus impatiens (common eastern bumble bee)
Lineage: Eukaryota; Metazoa; Arthropoda; Insecta; Hymenoptera; Apidae
Exons: 2
Source: RefSeq, a predicted model, not a curated record